GACGAACGCUGGCGGCGUGCUUAACACAUGCAAGUCGAACGGAAAGGCCCUGCUUUUGUGGGGUGCUCGAGUGGCGAACGGGUGAGUAACACGUGAGUAACCUGCCCUUGACUUUGGGAUAACUUCAGGAAACUGGGGCUAAUACCGGAUAGGAGCUCCUGCUGCAUGGUGGGGGUUGGAAAGUUUCGGCGGUUGGGGAUGGACUCGCGGCUUAUCAGCUUGUUGGUGGGGUAGUGGCUUACCAAGGCUUUGACGGGUAGCCGGCCUGAGAGGGUGACCGGCCACAUUGGGACUGAGAUACGGCCCAGACUCCUACGGGAUGCAGCAGUGGGGAAUAUUGCACAAUGGGCGGAAGCCUGAUGCAGCAACGCCGCGUGCGGGAUGACGGCCUUCGGGUUGUAAACCGCUUUCGCCUGUGACGAAGCGUGAGUGACGGUAAUGGGUAAAGAAGCACCGGCUAACUACGUGCCAGCAGCCGCGGUGAUACGUAGGGUGCGAGCGUUGUCCGGAUUUAUUGGGCGUAAAGGGCUCGUAGGUGGUUGAUCGCGUCGGAAGUGUAAUCUUGGGGCUUAACCCUGAGCGUGCUUUCGAUACGGGUUGACUUGAGGAAGGUAGGGGAGAAUGGAAUUCCUGGUGGAGCGGUGGAAUGCGCAGAUAUCAGGAGGAACACCAGUGGCGAAGGCGGUUCUCUGGGCCUUUCCUGACGCUGAGGAGCGAAAGCGUGGGGAGCGAACAGGCUUAGAUACCCUGGUAGUCCACGCUGUAAACGGUGGGUACUAGGUGUGGGGUCCAUUCCACGGGUUCCGUGCCGUAGCUAACGCUUUAAGUACCCCGCCUGGGGAGUACGGCCGCAAGGCUAAAACUCAAAGGAAUUGACGGGGCCCCGCACAAGCGGCGGAGCAUGCGGAUUAAUUCGAUGCAACGCGUAGAACCUUACCUGGGUUUGACAUGGAUCGGGAGUGCUCAGAGAUGGGUGUGCCUCUUUUGGGGUCGGUUCACAGGUGGUGCAUGGCUGUCGUCAGCUCGUGUCGUGAGAUGUUGGGUUAAGUCCCGCAACGAGCGCAACCCUUGUUCACUGUUGCCAGCACGUUAUGGUGGGGACUCAGUGGAGACCGCCGGGGUCAACUCGGAGGAAGGUGGGGAUGACGUCAAGUCAUCAUGCCCCUUAUGUCCAGGGCUUCACGCAUGCUACAAUGGCUGGUACAGAGAGUGGCGAGCCUGUGAGGGUGAGCGAAUCUCGGAAAGCCGGUCUCAGUUCGGAUUGGGGUCUGCAACUCGACCUCAUGAAGUCGGAGUCGCUAGUAAUCGCAGAUCAGCAACGCUGCGGUGAAUACGUUCCCGGG
RNAcentral lists this ribosomal RNA (1343 nucleotides) under uncultured bacterium. RNAcentral describes it as "16S ribosomal RNA". It matches the Rfam family "Bacterial small subunit ribosomal RNA", at positions 28 to 1378 of the family's 1533-position model. The record is from RNAcentral.